RNAcentral lists this ribosomal RNA (448 nucleotides) under uncultured bacterium. RNAcentral describes it as "partial 16S ribosomal RNA". It matches the Rfam family "Bacterial small subunit ribosomal RNA", at positions 330 to 794 of the family's 1533-position model. The record is from RNAcentral.
UCCAGACUCCUACGGGAGGCAGCAGUGGGGGAUAUUGCACAAUGGGGGGAACCCUGAUGCAGCGACGCCGCGUGGGUGAAGGAGCGUUUCGGCGCGUAAAGCCCUAUCGGCAGGGAAGAAGGAGGACGGUACCUGACUAAGAAGCCCCGGCUAACUACGUGCCAGCAGCCGCGGUAAUACGUAGGGGGCAAGCGUUAUCCGGAUUUACUGGGUGUAAAGGGGGCGCGGACGGCAGCGCAAGCCAGGAGUGAAAGCCCGGGGCCCAACCCCGGGACUGCUCUUGGAACUGCGCGGCUGGAGUGCAGGAGGGGCAGGCGGAAUUCCUGGUGUAGCGGUGAAAUGCGUAGAUAUCAGGAGGAACACCGGUGGCGAAGGCGGCCUGCUGGACUGCGACUGACGUUGAGGCCCGAAAGCGUGGGGAGCAAACAGGAUUAGAUACCCGUGUAGC